This 334-nucleotide RNase P RNA is filed under the name uncultured Ruminococcus sp. Its description in RNAcentral is "Bacterial RNase P class A". It matches the Rfam family "Bacterial RNase P class A". From Rfam's summary of the family: Ribonuclease P (RNase P) is a ubiquitous endoribonuclease, found in archaea, bacteria and eukarya as well as chloroplasts and mitochondria. Its best characterised activity is the generation of mature 5'-ends of tRNAs by cleaving the 5'-leader elements of precursor-tRNAs. The record is from RNAcentral. Lineage: Bacteria; Bacillati; Bacillota; Clostridia; Eubacteriales; Oscillospiraceae.
CAGACUAUGCGGCAGCGGAAACGUUUUAGUUUACGAGGAAAGUCCGGGCACCACAGAGCAAGGAUAACUGCUAACAGCAGCCGAGGGCGACCUUAGGGCAAGUGCAACAGAGAUAUACCGCCUCUUUUGAGGUAAGGGUGGAAAGGCGAGGUAAGAGCUCACCGGAGCACAGGAGACUGUGCUGCCAUGUAAACCCUAUCCGGUGCAACGUCUAUUGGUGUUGUGUAUCAACGUCGGCUCGGCGGAUGCACAGCAAUGACGGCUUGAGCAUAUCGGCAACGGUAUGAGUAGAUAAAUUGCCGCACUCGACAGAACCCGGCUUAUCGGUCUGGUC